CUCCAGUAACAAACCUCACAUUUCUGUUUGUAAUAUCUAAAGAAUCAAUUCUAAAUGCACUUAAUCUGUUUCUGUGAGGUCUCCACUCACCCACAGACAUUUAACCAAUCAUUACUGAAGCUGCUUCUAAUGCUCUAAAUGCCUGAUGAGCUUCAGGCCAUGGCUAUUUAAUUAUUGAAGAAGUGUUUUAAGAAGUGACAGAGAAACAUUGCCUUCUUCCUUGAUGUAUUACACUCUUACUGUGGCCUGAUCCAGAAAACAAGGAGGUGAAUGUAUUUUAUUCCCAUGAUCUCUACAAGUCUGUUCACACACACUGAAGAUCACUCUCCAGAGUACGGCCCUUCCAAGCCAUUAGAACCAGGAGUUGCAAGGCCAGGAGAGGAACCCACCACGUACAUACAAAUAGCAAUGGGAAUGUCAUCGCUGUCACCUCCAACAUUUCUCCAAAGGAGGACUGUACUCCUCAACAGAAGGCUGUAGUCAAGCAGAAAGCAAGGUCAGGAGGAAAGGCAGCAUAAAACUCCACUGGCAGCCAGCAUGAUGGUUUUGUUUAGAGCUCAGUUUGAGUCCAAUCUUUUGUAUGAGAGCUUAGUAAAAGCUGAAACAUUUGAGUGGAAUGUUGUUGUUCUAGGUGACUAAGUAACUUCCAGCAUUUAAACUCAGACAGCUGAAGUUCCUCUCUUAACUGGGUCUCAGUAGUUUCCAGUCUGAUAAAGCUGUGACAACUGGGUGAGGCUAAAUCUUGAGCUGCACCACUGUUCAUCAUUAGCAAAUCUACCCAUUCAUUUUGUUUAUUAUGGACUACGGGUUAUGAGUUAAUAUAUUUUGGGAUGUCCUCUGUCUGGAAGUAAAUGUUAUUCUUUUUUCAUACAAAAUCAGGUAUUACUGAGCAGAUGUAAUAAAAAUAUUUAAACAGAUACCUGAAUUGCA
Molecule: long non-coding RNA, 930 nt
Filed under: Anas platyrhynchos platyrhynchos (common mallard)
Lineage: Eukaryota; Metazoa; Chordata; Aves; Anseriformes; Anatidae
Description: lncRNA (ENSAPLG00000025249.1)
Source: RNAcentral